CGCCUGUUUAACAAAAACAUCUCUUUUUAGACAAUAAAAAGGUAGGCCCUGUUCAAUGAGAUUUAAAUAACCGCAGUAUUUAAUUGUGCGAAGGUAGCAUAAUAAUUUUUUCUUUAAUUAAGAGGUGGAAUGAAAGGGUUAAUAAGAUGACGGCUGUGUUGGCAUGAAAUGAUAAUUUUAUGAGAAAGUUAGAAAGCUUUCUAGUGUUAAAGGGACGACAAGACCCUAGAAGCUUAUAGCGGGUAUUAUAGUAUAAGCUAUUUAACUGGGGCGGUUAUUAUUGGAAACAAUAAGAGUGUGAACAUUGUGAAUGGAUUGUGUGAUCUUGAUUUAAACAUGAAGAUAAGCUACUCUAGGGAUAACAGCGCAAUAGAAUCUAAGAGUUCUUAUUGAAGAUUCAGUUGCGACCUCGAUGUUGAAUUAAGUAAUACUACCUGGAGCAACAGAUAGGGGCAGUGAGUUUGUUCAACUCUUAAUUUCUUACAUGAUCUGAGUUCAGACCGG
RNAcentral lists this ribosomal RNA (504 nucleotides) under Ceratothoa sp. Cy140210. RNAcentral's name for it is "partial 16S ribosomal RNA". It matches the Rfam family "Bacterial large subunit ribosomal RNA", at positions 1797 to 2619 of the family's 2925-position model. Lineage: Eukaryota; Metazoa; Arthropoda; Malacostraca; Isopoda; Cymothoidae. The record is from RNAcentral.